ACGGGAGGCAGCAGUGGGGAAUAUUGGGCAAUGGGCGCAAGCCUGACCCAGCAACGCCGCGUGAAGGAUGAAGGUCUUCGGAUUGUAAACUUCUUUGAUCAGGGACGAAUUUUGACGGUACCUGAAGAACAAGUCACGGCUAACUACGUGCCAGCAGCCGCGGUAAUACGUAGGUGACAAGCGUUAUCCGGAUUUACUGGGUGUAAAGGGCGUGUAGGCGGUUUGGCAAGUCAGAAGUGAAAUUCCCGAGCUCAACUUGGGCGCUGCUUCUGAAACUACAGAACUUGAGUACUGGAGGGGAAAGCGGAAUUCCUAGUGUAGCGGUAAAAUGCGCAGAUAUUAGGAGGAACACCGGUGGCGAAGGCGGCUUUCUGGACAGUAACUGACGCUGAGGCGCGAAAGCGUGGGGAGCAAACAGGAUUAGAUACCCUGGUA
Molecule: ribosomal RNA, 435 nt
Filed under: uncultured Saccharofermentans sp.
Lineage: Bacteria; Bacillati; Bacillota; Clostridia; Eubacteriales; Oscillospiraceae
Description: partial 16S ribosomal RNA
Rfam family: Bacterial small subunit ribosomal RNA
Source: RNAcentral